This 622-nucleotide ribosomal RNA is filed under the name uncultured archaeon. RNAcentral's name for it is "bacterial SSU rRNA". It matches the Rfam family "Archaeal small subunit ribosomal RNA", at positions 1 to 628 of the family's 1478-position model. The record is from RNAcentral.
AUUUUCCGGUUGAUCCUGCCGGAGGUCACUGCUAUCGGGGUUCGAUUAAGCCAUGCGAGUUGAGAGGGUUUAGACCCUCGGCGGACUGCUCAGUAACACGUGGAUAACCUGCCCUAAGGUGGAGGAUAACCCCGGGAAACUGGGGAUAAUACUCCAUAGACCAGAGUGACUGGAAUGUUUUCUGGUCGAAAGUUCCGGCGCCUUAGGAUGGAUCUGCGGCCGAUUAGGUAGUUGUUGGGGUAACGGCCCAACGAGCCAGUCAUCGGUACGGGUUGUGGGAGCAAGAGCCCGGAGAUGGAAUCUGAGACACGAUUCCAGGCCCUACGGGGCGCAGCAGGCGCGAAAACUUUACAAUGCAGGAAACUGUGAUAAGGGAACCCCGAGUGCUCGUACACGCGAGCUGUCCAGGUGUGUAAAAAGCAUCUGAAGAAAGGGCCGGGCAAGACCGGUGCCAGCCGCCGCGGUAAUACCGGCGGCUCGAGUGGUGGCCACUAUUAUUGGGCUUAAAGCGUUCGUAGCUGGACUCUUAAGUCUCCUGGGAAAUCCGCCGGCUCAACCGGCGGGCGUCCAGGAGAUACUGGGAGUCUUGGAACCGGAAGAGGUAAGAGGUACUUCGGGGGUA